Molecule: small RNA, 142 nt
Filed under: Salmonella enterica subsp. enterica
Lineage: Bacteria; Pseudomonadati; Pseudomonadota; Gammaproteobacteria; Enterobacterales; Enterobacteriaceae
Description: RtT sRNA
Rfam family: RtT RNA
About the family: This family represents a bacterial cis-regulatory element known as RtT RNA. The exact function of RtT is unknown although it is thought that it may be involved in changing the cellular response in relation to amino acid starvation.
Source: RNAcentral
GAGCGAUCAUAAGGGAGCUGACUGCAAAUCUGCCGUCAUCGACUUCAAGGUUCGACUCGAGCAAUAGUGAGAGAAUGUUGCCGCAGGCAACGGCCCGAAGGGUGAGGAGCUUUAGCUCCGAAUAAUCCUUCCCGCUAUAGAA